GGUUUCAAGAAAAGAAUAUGUAAUAUCAUGCUUUUCCACCUGCGUGUUCUGAAGCAACUGAGAGAUGAAUAAGAGGAUGACCAGAUGAAAGAGUAGUUUCCUUCAAAGCCCACAGUCAUUUUGGAAUGGGAAUUAUACCACGAGUGAAAUAAGAAACUGUAAAUAGGCUUUGGCACAACGAUUGUACUCUCAGGCGCCAAGUUUUGUUGGCAAGAAUUCUGGUUAUGAGAUGGUCCACAGAGAACUGAGUAAGAACAAUGGUAUACUUUAUUAACUAAAAUGAUCACAUCUUGCUUUAUUAUUUAUUUGUUUUUUUUUUUAACUAUCCUAGAACAGAUAAUGUAUUGUAGUUUGUUGCCUCGGGAAAGAUUUCAUUCUGCUUACGUGACACAGAGAGAAGCUGGCUUAAACUUCCCUUGGAUCCUUCCUAUACUUGGCUUUGUGCUAAAGAGUCACACAGUUGUGGGAAUCUUGCAAGCAUAAUUUCAAUUUCUACUUUCAGAUCAGAAUCAAGGAAGGAUUAGAAAGGAGUCCAUUUCAAAAUGUAUAGACCACUUCAGAAAUACUUAUUCUAUCCUACCUGUUCUGAAUAUAUUAAAUUUAUUAAAAACGGCUAAGUACCCUGCCAAAUUUUUUGUUAAUAUUAUAAUCAAAUGUACUUAGUUAUUGGUGUCUCCGCAACCACUGAAAAUGCCAUGCGAUUAUAAACAGAAUAUGUUUUCUCAUUUGAAAUGGCAAAGCCCCAGAGGUUCUAAUAGCCACCCUCUUACAGAUACAUUAUUCAUUGUAAACUAGCUUUCUAGAAUCCUAGAUUAUGGAGAACUAAGUAUCUUCUAUAUUUUAAACCACGUGUAUGUUAAUGUAUAUAAUGAGCAUUUCAAAUAAUCUUUUUGCUUCUGGUCAACUUUUUAUUUUUAUUGUUUUAAUAAUAAAGGCGGCCGGGCAUGGAGGGUCACGCCUAUUAUCCCAGCACUUUGGGAGGCCAA
Macaca mulatta (Rhesus monkey) is the source of this 986-nucleotide long non-coding RNA. RefSeq lists it as uncharacterized. The record is from RefSeq and is a predicted model, not a curated record. NCBI's taxonomy places the organism in Eukaryota, Metazoa, Chordata, Mammalia, Primates, Cercopithecidae.